GUGAAUAACAUAUUUUUUAAUCACGCAACUUACGACGGAAUCGCGGAAACUAUGAAGUACACAUAUGGUUGGAAUAAAUUGUUCUCGCGAAAAACCGUGGCGGUUAUUUUCCUGCGACACGAGAUUGAAUGCGACAUCAGAGAGCAGAAGAUCACCUUCCAGUUUGAAGAGCAGAGAAGUGUUUUGCAAUAUUUGGACAAGCGUAUGGACGAGAUCUUCGCAAGCACAUACGAACACCGCUGUUCUGGCGAGUGCGUAGCCAAAGGGUGUGGAAGACUGUUUAUUAUGGACGGACUUUGGAAAAUCGUGUUCCGGCAUUGUAUA
Molecule: long non-coding RNA, 324 nt
Organism: Paramacrobiotus metropolitanus
Lineage: Eukaryota; Metazoa; Tardigrada; Eutardigrada; Parachela; Macrobiotidae
Exons: 3
Source: RefSeq, a predicted model, not a curated record